UAGGGAAUCUUCCGCAAUGGACGAAAGUCUGACGGAGCAACGCCGCGUGAGUGAUGAAGGUUUUCGGAUCGUAAAACUCUGUUAUUAGGGAAGAACAAAUGCGUAAGUAACUGUGCGCAUCUUGACGGUACCUAAUCAGAAAGCCACGGCUAACUACGUGCCAGCAGCCGCGGUAAUACGUAGGUGGCAAGCGUUAUCCGGAAUUAUUGGGCGUAAAGCGCGCGUAGGCGGUAUCUUAAGUCUGAUGUGAAAGCCCACGGCUCAACCGUGGAGGGUCAUUGGAAACUGGGAAACUUGAGUACAGAAGAGGAAAGUGGAAUUCCAUGUGUAGCGGUGAAAUGCGCAGAGAUAUGGAGGAACACCAGUGGCGAAGGCGACUUUCUGGUCUGUAACUGACGCUGAUGUGCGAAAGCGUGGGGAUCAAACA
Molecule: ribosomal RNA, 427 nt
Filed under: uncultured bacterium
Lineage: Bacteria
Description: partial 16S ribosomal RNA
Rfam family: Bacterial small subunit ribosomal RNA
Source: RNAcentral